CUUUAGAUAUGAUCCAGAGUACCACGGGACACGUGAAACCCUGUGGGAAGCAGGAGGGACCACCCUCCAAGGCUAAAUACUACCUAGUGACCGAUAGCGUAUAGUACCGUGAGGGAAAGGUGAAAAGAACCCCGGGAGGGGAGUGAAAUAGAACCUGAAACCCUGCACUUACAAGCUGUGGAAGCACAUUUCUUGUGUGACCGCGUACUUUUUGUAGAACGGGCCAACGAGUUACGUUAAGUAGCAAGGUUAAGCACUUAAGGUGCGGAGCCGUAGCGAAAGCGAGUUUUAACUGAGCGUUCAGUUACUUGACGUAGACCCGAAACCGGGCGACCUACCCAUGAGCAGGAUGAAGCGAAAGUAAAAUUUCGUGGAGGUCCGAACCCACGAGCGUUGAAAAGCUCGGGGAUGACUUGUGGGUAGCGGUGAAAUUCCAAUCGAGCCCGGAGAUAGCUGGUUCUCCCCGAAAUAGCUUUAGGGCUAGCCUCAAGGUGAGAGAUACGGAGGUAGAGCACUGAAUGUCCUAGGGGGUAUUGCACCUACCGAAGACUAUCAAACUCCGAAUGCCGUCAUCUUAUACUUGGGAGUCAGACUGUGGGUGAUAAGAUUCAUAGUCGAAAGGGCAACAGCCCAGAUCGUCAGCUAAGGUCCCUAAAUGUAAGUUAAGUGGUAAAGGAUGUGGGAUUGCACAGACAACCAGGAUGUUGGCUUAGAAGCAGCCACUCAUUCAAAGAGUGCGUAAUAGCUCACUGGUCGAGUGAUCCUGCGCCGAAGAUUUCCGGGGCUAAAACUUACUACCGAAGCUACGGCAUCAGUAAUGAUGGGUAGGGGAGCUUCCCAUACGGGUUGAAGCAUGACCGUAAGGACAUGUGGACAGUAUGGGAGUGAGAAUGUUGGCAUGAGUAGCGAGAUGUGGGUGGGAAUCCCACAGGCCGUAAACCCAAGGUUUCCAGGGGAAGGUUCGUCCACCCUGGGUUAGUCGGGACCUAAGCUGAGGCCGAAAGGCGUAGGUGAUGGACAACAGGUUGAUAUUCCUGUACUACCGAUAACCGUUUGAGAGAAGGGAUGACACAGUAGGAUAAGCUAAGCACACUGUUGGUUAUGUGUGCCCAAGCAUUGAGGCAGUCAAAGUAGGCAAAUCCGCUUUGAUAAUGCUGGGAUGUGAUGGGGAGCGAAAUUUAGUAGCGAAGUAGCUGAUUUCACACUGUCAAGAAAAGUCUCUAUCGAGGUUAAAGGUACCCGUACCGCAAACCGACACAGGUGGGUGAGGAGAGUAUCCUAAGGCCAGCGAGAGAACUGUUGUUAAGGAACUCGGCAAAAUGACCCCGUAACUUAGGGAUAAGGGGUGCCACCAUCAGGUGGCCGCAGAGAAUAGGCCCAAGCGACUGUUUACCAAAAACAUAGGUUUCUGCUAAGUCGCAAGACGAUGUAUAGGAGCUGACGCCUGCCCGGUGCUGGAAGGUUAAGGGGAUCUGUUAGAGCAAUCGAAGCAGUGAACUUAAGCCCCAGUAAACGGCGGCCGUAACUAUAACGGUCCUAAGGUAGCGAAAUUCCUUGUCGGGUAAGUUCCGACCCGCACGAAAGGCGUAACGAUUUGGGCACUGUCUCAACAACAGACUCGGUGAAAUUGUAAUUCCGGUGAAGAUGCCGGAUACCUGCGACAGGACGGAAAGACCCCAUGGAGCUUUACUGUAGCUUGACAUUGGGUCUUGGUACUACAUGUACAGGAUAGGUGGGAGGCUUUGAAACCAGGACGCCAGUUUUGGCGGAGCCAUCCUUGGGAUACCACCCUUGUAGUACUGGGACUCUAACCAUAGGCCAUGAAUCUGGUC
RNAcentral lists this ribosomal RNA (1832 nucleotides) under Escherichia coli. RNAcentral describes it as "partial 23S ribosomal RNA". It matches the Rfam family "Bacterial large subunit ribosomal RNA", at positions 394 to 2245 of the family's 2925-position model. Lineage: Bacteria; Pseudomonadati; Pseudomonadota; Gammaproteobacteria; Enterobacterales; Enterobacteriaceae. The record is from RNAcentral.